Molecule: long non-coding RNA, 787 nt
Filed under: Lupinus mutabilis
Lineage: Eukaryota; Viridiplantae; Streptophyta; Magnoliopsida; Fabales; Fabaceae
Description: partial ncRNA
Source: RNAcentral
AUAAUCAUGCCAUUUGGUCAAUUCUUUUUAGCAAAAAGACUUUUGGAAAGUCAAACUAUGGAGGAGGAGGCAAAUCAAAGGGAUAACAUAUUUCAUACAAGGUGUUUGAUCCAAGGAAAUGUAUGCUUAAUGAUUAUUGAUAGUGGUAGUUGUGCCAAUAUAGUUAGUCCAAGAGUAGUCUCAAAGCUAAAUCUUGUGACUAGACCACAUCCUACUCCUUACCGGCUUGAAUGGUUAAGUGAAGUUGGGGAAAUAACUAUCAAUGAACAAGUUGAGGUCCCAUUUUCAAUAGGGAAGUAUGAAGAUGUGGUUCUCUGCGAUGUGGUUCACAUGGAGGUCUGUCAUAUAAUUUUGGGUCGUCCAUGACAAUUUGAUAAAAGAACAAUGCAUGAUUGUUUCUCAAACAAGUUCACAUUUUUACACCAGAAUCGAAAGGUAGUGUUGUCUCCCUUAUCUCGAGUGCAAGUGAGUGAAGACCAGAAGACUUUGAGAAAAAAAAUUGAGGAGGAGAAAAUGAAAAGGGUGUGUGUAAAUAAGAAUGAAAAAGAGAUUGAAGUGAAAAAAAUCAUUGCAAAAAAGAGAAAUAUCAGUGAGGGUGAUGGUGAAAAGGAGAAAUUUUGUUGUAUGAAAGUAAAUGAGGUUACACAGAUCUUGAUUCCAAAACAACCCCUACCACAACAACAUUUUGAAAAUUUUUGCUUUACUAUUAACAAGCCUUUGCCUAGUUUUGUUAUCAAAAUUUUGCAGGAAGUUGGCGAAAUCUCUCUUAAAGAAGAACCACCUGAUC